Molecule: ribosomal RNA, 238 nt
Filed under: uncultured bacterium
Lineage: Bacteria
Description: partial 16S ribosomal RNA
Rfam family: Bacterial small subunit ribosomal RNA
Source: RNAcentral
CGGCGGACGGGUGAGUAACGCGUGGGUAACCUGCCUCAUACAGGGGGAUAACAGUUGGAAACGGCUGCUAAUACCGCAUAAGCGCACAGUACCGCAUGGUACGGUGUGAAAAACUCCGGUGGUAUGAGAUGGACCCGCGUCUGGUUAGGUAGUUGGUGGGGUAACGGCCUACCAAGCCGACGAUCAGUAGCCGACCCGAGAGGGUGACCGGCCACAUUGGGACUGAGACACGGCCCAA